GAUGAACGCUGGCGGCGUGCCUAAUACAUGCAAGUCGAGCGAACGGACGAGAAGCUUUCUUCUCUGUUGUUAGCGUCGGACGGGUGAGUAACACGUGGAUAACCUACCUAUAAUACUGGGAUAACUUCGGGAAACCUGAGCUAACACCGCAUAAUAUUUUGAAUCGCAUUUUUAAAAAUUUAUAUCCGUUCUUGCUUUCUCUUAUCUAUGACUCCGCGCUGCAUUUGCUAGUUGGUAAUGUAACUGUUUAUCAAGGCAACGAUGCAGAGCAGACCUAGGAGAGUGAUCGGCCACACUGGAAGUGAGGCACGGGCCAGAGUCCGACGGGAGGCAGGAGAAGGAAAUCUUACGAAAGGGGCGAAAGCUUGACGGAGCAAAGGCGAGUGAGUGAUGAAGGUAUUGGGAUAAUAAAACCCUGUUAUUAGGGAAGACUAAGUGUGUAAGUAACUGUGAAUAAAUUGACGGUACCUAAAUAGAAAGCCACGGCUAAAUACGUG
This 497-nucleotide ribosomal RNA is filed under the name uncultured bacterium. Its description in RNAcentral is "partial 16S ribosomal RNA". It matches the Rfam family "Bacterial small subunit ribosomal RNA", at positions 28 to 507 of the family's 1533-position model. The record is from RNAcentral.